RNAcentral lists this long non-coding RNA (244 nucleotides) under Daucus carota (carrot). RNAcentral's name for it is "long non-coding RNA (DCAR_LNC002640)". Lineage: Eukaryota; Viridiplantae; Streptophyta; Magnoliopsida; Apiales; Apiaceae. The record is from RNAcentral.
AAUUUAAGGCCUUUGAUGGAUCCUAAUCAUCUAAGAACAUUUUCUCUUUUUCAACCAAUUUUGAACUGACCCAAUCUCUAUCGAAACAAAUAUCUAGCCAAACUUCACAAACUCUUAUUCUUCUUUUUUUCUUUUUUUUUUCUUUUUUUUUGCAUUGACUUUAUUUUGUCCGUUUUCUUAGGCAAUCAAUGUUACCCAUGUAGCGAGCUUUAGGUCAGUGACUCCCAAACCAAACGGUCUUAGG